CAAUAGCGUAUAUUAAAGUUGUUGCGGUUAAAAGCUCGUAGUUGGAUUUCUGCUGAGGACGACCGGUCCGCCCUCUGGGUGAGUAUCUGGCUCGGCCUUGGCAUCUUCUUGGGGAACGUAACUGCACUUGACUGUGUGGUGCGGUAUCCAGGACUUUUACUUUGAGGAAAUUAGAGUGUUCAAAGCGGGCGUUUGCUUGAAUAUAUUAGCAUGGAAUAAUGGAAUAGGACCCUGGUCCUAUUUUGUUGGUUUUGAGGACUAGAGUAAUGAUUAAUAGGGAUAGUUGGGGGCAUUCAUAUUUAAUUGUCAGAGGUGAAAUUCUUGGAUUUAUGAAAGAUGAACUUCUGCGAAAGCAUUUGCCAAGGAUGUUUUCAUUAAUCAAGAACGAAAGUUAGGGGAUCGAAGACGAUUAGAUACCAU
RNAcentral lists this ribosomal RNA (420 nucleotides) under uncultured eukaryote. RNAcentral describes it as "bacterial SSU rRNA". It matches the Rfam family "Eukaryotic small subunit ribosomal RNA", at positions 592 to 1018 of the family's 1831-position model. The record is from RNAcentral.